GAGAAGAAGGUUCUGAUUUCUGCCCUACACUCCACACACCCAGAGAUGCUUUUAAAGCCACCCACAGUCAUCAUGUAUGAGUUGAGCAGCCGUAUAAAAGUGUGUAAUAGCUAUUUUUUUAAAAAAAAAUUAAAAAACCUACUAGACUUAUAUUACUGUUCUUCCUGUAGGGAGAGAAAAAUGAGUUUUUGUGGCUCCCUGUGCUCCUAGUACAGAUCAGAAGAUAUUAACUCAAGUAUGUCCCUCUUUCUUGAAAAAAAAAAAAGCCAAAAGGAAGUCAUAUGAGUCACGGUGGCGCAGUGGUUAGAGUGCAGUGUUAGGAUAUGGUUUGAGCCUAACAGGUUGUCCAGGCAAUAUAUGUGUUCUGUGACUUUACCAUGAAUAUGUAUUGUGUGACUUUAAAGUUUUACUGCUGAUUCAUUGUAAUGCUGAGUCAUGCUGUAAUUAGAUAAUCACUAGUUGUAAAUGUAUUUAAGAAAGGUACUGUAACAUAUUCAGUUGAUGAUAUGCUACCAUUGUGUGUGGAGUUGCUACUAUUGUGCUAUCAUCGGUGGAUGGAUCUGCUACCAUCGUGGUUUGUUACCAGAGUGAACUUGUUAUUCUAACCAACCACUGUUCGUAUGGUGCACCAAACCUCUAAAGAUGGUUGUGUGAAGAAUGCAAGAGCUGCAGGAAUAUAAGAAUGCAGGAAUAUCCUUCCCUAUUUUCCAAAAUGAAGUAAUUCAUCAUUGGAAGAGGUCAAUUGGACCAAAUGCCGCAAAACACCAAGAACAUCUGCUGGUGUUUUCUGAUGAACAUAAAGAGGAGAGCUGAGCAAGGAGAAAAUAAGGAACCAGAGAUGUUUUCAACUCAAAGAAAAUUGGACAGAGCUUUCUCAGUGGUGGUGAAUGCAAGUUAGUGGAUAUAAUGCUUCACUUAUGGAGCAAUAUUUUCAUGCAUUGCUUGUCAGCUACUCUUGAGGAGACAUCUGUUAUUUUUAGCCUCUAAACACGAGAGAAAAUAAAUUUAUUUAGCUUUUCAGUUGACUGCACAAUA
Pantherophis guttatus is the source of this 1035-nucleotide long non-coding RNA. RefSeq lists it as uncharacterized. The record is from RefSeq and is a predicted model, not a curated record. Lineage: Eukaryota; Metazoa; Chordata; Lepidosauria; Squamata; Colubridae.